CACGUAGGGCGCAAGCGUUGUCCGGAAUUAUUGGGCGUAAAGAGCUCGUAGGUGGUUUGCUGCGUCCGCUGUGAAAACCCAAGGCUUAACCUUGGGCUUGCAGUGGAUACGGGCAGACUAGAGGUAGGUAGGGGAGAAUGGAAUUCCCGGUGUAGCGGUGAAAUGCGCAGAUAUCGGGAGGAACACCGGUGGCGAAGGCGGUUCUCUGGACCAUAACUGACGCUGAUGCGCGAAAGCUAGGGGAGCAAACAGG
RNAcentral lists this ribosomal RNA (253 nucleotides) under uncultured bacterium. Its description in RNAcentral is "partial 16S ribosomal RNA". It matches the Rfam family "Bacterial small subunit ribosomal RNA", at positions 524 to 776 of the family's 1533-position model. The record is from RNAcentral.